CGCCGGGUAGCACGUAGCUGGAAGCGUCCCUCUCUCCUAAAGAGGAGUAGAAAUACCCCGUGGGUUCGAAUCCCACCCCGGUGA
This 84-nucleotide transfer RNA is filed under the name Caudoviricetes sp. RNAcentral describes it as "tRNA-Arg". It matches the Rfam family "tRNA". Rfam says of the family: Transfer RNA (tRNA) molecules are approximately 80 nucleotides in length. The record is from RNAcentral. Lineage: Duplodnaviria; Heunggongvirae; Uroviricota; Caudoviricetes.